This 475-nucleotide ribosomal RNA is filed under the name Angiostrongylus cantonensis (rat lungworm). RNAcentral's name for it is "partial small subunit ribosomal RNA". The record is from RNAcentral. Lineage: Eukaryota; Metazoa; Nematoda; Chromadorea; Rhabditida; Metastrongylidae.
CUAUGCUAAUGAAAUUUAAUCUUUAUUUUUGUUGGGGCAUGAAGUUUUUUUGUUGGUUUUAUGAAUUUUAGGUAAAAUUAAAAUUUAUAUUUAGAGGUUUUUAUGUCAUUAAGAUUUUUGAAGGCGAAUUAGAUUAGUACCUAAUUAGUGAAAAAUUAAAUGUUCAGGAGUAAAGUGGUAUUUAAACUGAAAGAAUAUUGGCAGAUUUUCUAAAUUAUCUUUGGAGGUUGAGUGAUAAUUGAGAACCCUCAUUAACUACUUGGUUUUUUGGCUUAUGUAUGAUCGUUUAUUUUAAGCUUAAGGUUUAGGAUUUUAGGUUUUGACUGUAAAAAUAGAUAUAUAUUUAGUUUAUGAUUAAGUUAAUUUGACCUACAAUAUUUUGAAUUGUGUGGAUUAUUAAAUUAGUAUUAGUAUGAAAUUGUAAAAGACAGUAAGAAAGUUUUUAUAUCUUUUUGAAGAGUAUUUAGAAAUGGCA